RNAcentral lists this ribosomal RNA (197 nucleotides) under Leptocylindrus danicus. RNAcentral describes it as "partial Eukaryotic large subunit ribosomal RNA". It matches the Rfam family "Eukaryotic large subunit ribosomal RNA", at positions 1369 to 1564 of the family's 3401-position model. The record is from RNAcentral. Lineage: Eukaryota; Bacillariophyta; Leptocylindrophyceae; Leptocylindrales; Leptocylindraceae.
AAGCCCCGACGAGAAGGAUGGCGCGGCGGUGUGCGUCGAAGGGCAGGUCGCGAGACCGCCUGGAGCCGCCGUCGGUGCAGAUCUUGGUGGUAGUAGCAAAUACUCAAAUGAGAACUUUGAGGACUGAAGUGGGGAAAGGUUCCAUGUGAACAGCAGUUGGACAUGGGUGAGUCGAUCCUAAGACAUAGGGAAGUUCC